Molecule: long non-coding RNA, 2120 nt
Organism: Lycium ferocissimum
Lineage: Eukaryota; Viridiplantae; Streptophyta; Magnoliopsida; Solanales; Solanaceae
Exons: 2
Source: RefSeq, a predicted model, not a curated record
UUUUUUUAAUUUCAUGUAGAAAAUAUAUUAUAUUUAACUAUUUAUAAUACUAUAUUACUGUCAAAUAUCAUGUAAGAAUUCAAACUUAACAUAACACACAAGUGAUGAGGUGUUAAUAAUUAUGAUAAAUUUAUGAAUAAUCAUAAGUAAAAGGAUAAAAAAUGCACAAUUCAAAUUAAUUGAACUUUAAUGUGUUUAAUCUGGUAUUGUAUAAACUAAAAUAACAAUAUUCAAAUAUGACAUUUUUCGCUUUUUGAGAGUCAAUGGCGACUAAUCUUUAAAGUUAAAUUGAAUUAGAUCAACUGAAUGUUUUAAAACUAAAAUUUAGAUAUUCGAACACUAUACGAAAAGUGCAAUUCUUCUCGUGUCAAUAUGGUGAAAAUAAUACAUUUUAAAAUUAUUAAUCAAAAUUUAUAUAAUUUGAAUUUCGGAAAUUCAAAAGGUACCGGCCUUAGGUUUCUUGUCAUAAAAAAAAAAUUCAAAAAGCAAAAAAUGUAUCAUAUAGGACAGGACACAGGGGUAGUAUAAUAACUAAUUAAGUAGGCAUUUGGCCAAGAAACUAAAUAUUUUUCACUUUAUUUAAAAUUUUUGAAGUUGGAGUUGAAGAUGAAGUUGUGUUUGGUUAUAGAUUUUGCGAAAAAUAUUUGGUUGUUUGAAUGUAUUGAAAGUGAAAACAGAGGUUUAGGUGUUUUCCAAAUUCUUUUUUUUUUUCCCUCAAAAUUCCAAAUACAACUUUCAUGAUCAAAAACUGAUUUGUAAAUAUACUGAUUUUUUUUUUUUCCAGAAAAAAGUGAAAUAACUCUAUGGCCUAAGAGGCCAAAAAUGAUACUAUUACAUUAACCCAAAAAAUUAACAGCACGUGCACUUCACGUGAUUUCUCAUCUUCUUCCCCAAAAUUCCCCUCGCUAUUCGAAGAAAAAUUGCAGUCAAUUGGCAAAAGUAUGUCUUAAGUUUUUUCAGUUUUGAAGAAAUUAGCAGGUGGCAUUGGGCUGAGAAGCUGUUUAAUAGGAAUGUGGAUUUUCUAAAGCUAUUGAGAACCCAAAGGAUCUUAUGAUCUUGGCCUCUUUAAUGACUUACUUUCUGGACUCUUUCUACAUUUAGUAAUAUGAUAAUUCAAAAAUCCUACAUGACAAGUUUAAAAUCAUAAGAUUCAAAUGACAUUUUAGUACAUUAUACAUAUUUAGUUUAGAAUCACAAGAUUCAAAAAUCUCCUUUUAUUCUUUAAAUUUUGUGUUCAGUUAAACUAAAACACUUAAAUUGGGAUGGAGGGAUACCUUAUAUUAUGUCUUACACGCUUAACUUUUGAUUGAUCGGUGAAUCAUCUUUUAUUGUAUAAUUUUCCUUAUUGAAUAAAGCUCUUCUCCCUGUUUUUUUCCUUUCAUGUUAGCAAGUUUCCAAUCUCAUUAUAUUGUUGGACGUGUGGGCGGCAUAAAUUUCAAAUUCUGGAUCCACCUUUAUAUACACAUUGGUAGCCUAGUAUCAUACAAAUUAUCCUUGGUUGUUUUAACCCAAUAAUGUUUUCUUGAUUUUGCAUUGCUUUUAUUUCCCUUAUAUCUGUUUGAAGUGUAAAGAAAUGGAUCAUGAGCCACCGAUAUGGGAGUUUUUCAUUCUUCAACACCCCACUUGAGAUGGUUCUGCUCUGAUACCAUGAAAAUAAAUGGAUCAUGGGCCUAACUUAACCCCAAAAAUUAGCUUACGAGGGGAGUGUUGACCAAGUGCAUAUAAAGAGACCCCUAUCUCAUCAACCAUCGAUGCGGGAAUUUUUCAUUCUUCAACAUGAAGAUGACCAGUUGAUUCAAAACCAAUGUCAUGUCUUGUUCACUUUUUGAUGAAUAGCUUGGAACAAUGAACAAUAUGGUGAACGAUAGCGAAGAAAAAGGCCAUGAUGAAACAUAUGAUGAUAAUGAAUGAUGAAGAACAUGAUGAACUAGAGGAAAAAGUGCCUGCGAAGUUGAGUGUGUUCUCGCUCUCUAUGUAAUCUACUCUUUAUCAACAGUUCUAUUUUUGUAGGAAUACACUUGGAGAUGUAGUCAAUAAAAAUCAUAGCUAUCACUCUUGAAACUAAUAUAAGCUAACUUAAUCCCAACAUCUAGCGUAUUCGAGAAAUGGGGAUUUUUUUU